This 80-nucleotide small RNA is filed under the name Sinorhizobium meliloti 2011. RNAcentral's name for it is "putative ncRNA". Lineage: Bacteria; Pseudomonadati; Pseudomonadota; Alphaproteobacteria; Hyphomicrobiales; Rhizobiaceae. The record is from RNAcentral.
ACCCGCGAGGAUGCGAUCUCUGGGCAUGCCGUGGCUGAAGGAACUGCGCGCGGCCGGCACGUCUGCGCCAGGUGAAUUGC